This 817-nucleotide ribosomal RNA is filed under the name Laribacter hongkongensis. Its description in RNAcentral is "partial 23S ribosomal RNA". It matches the Rfam family "Bacterial large subunit ribosomal RNA", at positions 1 to 864 of the family's 2925-position model. Lineage: Bacteria; Pseudomonadati; Pseudomonadota; Betaproteobacteria; Neisseriales; Aquaspirillaceae. The record is from RNAcentral.
GAUCAAGCGACUAAGUGCAUCUGGUGGAUGCCUUGGCGAUCAUAGGCGAUGAAGGACGUGUAAGCCUGCGAAAAGCGCGGGGGAGCUGGCAAUAGAGCAUUGAUCCCGCGAUGUCCGAAUGGGGAAACCCACCUCUUUUGAGGUAUCCCUGGCUGAAUCCAUAGGCCAGCGGAGGCGAACCCGGCGAACUGAAACAUCUAAGUAGCCGGAGGAAAAGAAAUCAACCGAGAUUCCGCAAGUAGUGGCGAGCGAACGCGGAAGAGCCUGUACGUGAUAGCAGUCGUGUUAGAAGAACGGUCUGGAAAGGCCGGCCAUAGUGGGUGAUAGCCCCGUAUUCGAAAACACAAUUGUGGUACUGAGCGUACGAGAAGUAGGGCGGGACACGUGAAAUCCUGUCUGAAGAUGGGGGGACCAUCCUCCAAGGCUAAAUACUCAUGAUCGACCGAUAGUGAACCAGUACCGUGAGGGAAAGGCGAAAAGAACCCCGGGAGGGGAGUGAAACAGAACCUGAAACCGGAUGCAUACAAACAGUGGGAGCCUGGAAACGGGUGACUGCGUACCUUUUGUAUAAUGGGUCAGCGACUUACAUUCAGUAGCGAGCUUAACCAGAUAGGGGAGGCGUAGCGAAAGCGAGUCCGAACAGGGCGUUGAGUUGCUGGGUGUAGACCCGAAACCGGAUGAUCUAUCCAUGGCCAGGAUGAAGGUGCGGUAACACGCACUGGAGGUCCGAACCCACGUCUGUUGCAAAAGACGGGGAUGAGCUGUGGAUAGGGGUGAAAGGCUAAACAAAUCCGGAAAUAGCUGGUUCUCUCCGAAA